This 253-nucleotide ribosomal RNA is filed under the name uncultured bacterium. RNAcentral's name for it is "partial 16S ribosomal RNA". It matches the Rfam family "Bacterial small subunit ribosomal RNA", at positions 524 to 776 of the family's 1533-position model. The record is from RNAcentral.
UACGUAGGGGCCGAGCGUUGUCCGGAGUUAUUGGGCGUAAAGCGCGCGCAGGCGGCUUGACGCGCCCGACGUGAAAGCCCCCGGCUUAACCGGGGAGGGUCGUCGGGUACGGUCAGGCUUGAGGGCGGGAGAGGGUGGUGGAAUUCCCGGUGUAGUGGUGAAAUGCGCAGAUAUCAGGAAGAACACCAAUGGCGAAAGCAGCUCUCUGGGACGGUACUGACGCUGAGACGCGAAAGCGUGGGGAGCGAACAGG